CUACGGGACGCAGCAGUGGGGAAUUUUGCGCAAUGGGCGAAAGCCUGACGCAGCAACGCCGCGUGAGCGAUGAAGGUUUUCGGAUCGUAAAGCUCUGUCAGAUGGGAAGAAGAACAUGACGGUACCAUCAGAGGAAGCCCCGGCUAACUCCGUGCCAGCAGCCGCGGUAAUACGGAGGGGGCGAGCGUUGUUCGGAAUUAUUGGGCGUAAAGCGUAUGUAGGUGGUUUGACAAGUCAGACGUGUAAGCCCACGGCUCAACCGUGGAAUUGCGUUUGAAACUAUCUAACUUGAGUGCAGAAGAGGAAAGCGGAAUUUCCAGUGUAGCGGUGAAAUGCGUUGAUAUUGGGAAGAACACCUGUGGCGAAGGCGGCUUUCUGGUCUGCUACUGACACUGAGAUACGAAAGCCAGGGGAGCAAACGGGAUUAGAUACCCCCGUAGUC
This 442-nucleotide ribosomal RNA is filed under the name uncultured bacterium. RNAcentral describes it as "partial 16S ribosomal RNA". It matches the Rfam family "Bacterial small subunit ribosomal RNA", at positions 339 to 795 of the family's 1533-position model. The record is from RNAcentral.